GGGGAUGUAGCUCAGUGGUAGAGCACUUGCCUAGCAUGCACAAAGCCCUGGGUUGAUUCACCAAUACAAAAAAAAAUAAAUAAAUAAAGUAAAUGCAAGAAUCUACUUUGUUGUGUCUUCUAGUACAUUCAUGACCA
Molecule: transfer RNA, 137 nt
Filed under: Marmota monax (woodchuck)
Lineage: Eukaryota; Metazoa; Chordata; Mammalia; Rodentia; Sciuridae
Description: tRNA.Ala
Source: RNAcentral